This 504-nucleotide ribosomal RNA is filed under the name uncultured bacterium. Its description in RNAcentral is "bacterial SSU rRNA". It matches the Rfam family "Bacterial small subunit ribosomal RNA", at positions 30 to 518 of the family's 1533-position model. The record is from RNAcentral.
UUGAACGCUGGCGGCGUGCUUAACACAUGCAAGUCGCGCGUGAAAGCCUUCGGGAUGAGUAAAGCGGCGCACGGGUGAGUAACGCGUGGAUGAUCUACCCAUGAGUUGGGAAUAACGGUUGGAAACGAUCGCUAAUACCCGGUACGUUCCGAUUUCAACUUCGGGAGAAAGGGGGCCUCUGCUUGCAAGCUUCUGCUCAUGGAUGAGUCCGCGUCCCAUUAGCUAGUUGGUGAGGUAACGGCUCACCAAGGCAUCGAUGGGUAGCCGGUCUGAGAGGAUGACCGGCCACACUGGGACUGGAACACGGCCCAGACUCCUACGGGAGGCAGCAGUGGGGAAUAUUGCGCAAUGGGCGAAAGCCUGACGCAGCGACGCCGCGUGAGGGAUGAAAGGUCUUCGGAUCGUAAACCUCUGUCAAGAGGGAAGAAACGUCAGGGCGCUAAUCAGCCCUGAUCUGACGGUACCUCUAAAGGAAGCACCGGCUAACUCCGUGCCAGCCGCAGC